UACGGGAGGCAGCAGUGGGGAAUUUUGGACAAUGGGGGCAACCCUGAUCCAGCCAUUCCGCGUGAGUGAAGAAGGCCUUCGGGUUGUAAAGCUCUUUUGUCCGGAGCGAAACGGUCGUGGUGAAUAUCCGCGACUACUGACGGUACCCCAAGAAGAAGCCCCGGCUAACUCCGUGCCAGCAGCCGCGGUAAUACGGAGGGUGCAAGCGUUGUUCGGAAUUAUUGGGCGUAAAGCGCGUGUAGGCGGGAAAGCAGGUCAGGUGUGAAAUCCCUUGGCUUAACCAAGGAACUGCAUCUGAAACCAUUUUCCUCGAGUACGAUAGGGGAGGGCGGAAUUCCCAGUGUAGAGGUGAAAUUCAUAGAUAUUGGGAGGAACACCAGUGGCGAAGGCGACCCUCUGGAUCGAUACUGACGCUGAGACGCGAAAGCGUGGGUAGCAAACAGGAUUAGAUACCCUGGUAGUCCACGCUGUAAACGAUGUGCACUAGGUGUUGGAGGUACUUAAUCCUCCAGUGCCGCAGCUAACGCAUUAAGUGCACCGCCUGGGGAAUACGGCCGCAAGGUUAAAACUCAAAGGAAUUGACGGGGA
Molecule: ribosomal RNA, 588 nt
Filed under: uncultured delta proteobacterium
Lineage: Bacteria; Deltaproteobacteria
Description: bacterial SSU rRNA
Rfam family: Bacterial small subunit ribosomal RNA
Source: RNAcentral